This 433-nucleotide ribosomal RNA is filed under the name uncultured bacterium. RNAcentral describes it as "partial 16S ribosomal RNA". It matches the Rfam family "Bacterial small subunit ribosomal RNA", at positions 29 to 507 of the family's 1533-position model. The record is from RNAcentral.
AACGAACGCUGGCGGCAUGCCUAACACAUGCGAGUCGAACGAGACCUUCGGGUCUAGUGUCGCACGGGUGUGUAACGCGUGGGAACCUGCCUUUAGGUUCGGGAUAACUCAGAGAAUUUUGAGCUAAUACCGGAUGAUGUCUUCGGACCAAAGAUUUAUCGCCUUUAGAUGGGCCCGCGUUGGAUUAGCUAGUUGGUGGGGUAAAGGCCUACCAAGGCGACGAUCCAUAGCUGGUCUGAGAGGAUGAUCAGCCACACUGGGACUGAGACACGGCCCAGACUCCUACGGGAGGCAGCAGUGGGGAAUAUUGGACAAUGGGCGAAAGCCUGAUCCAGCAAUGCCGCGUGAGUGAUGAAGGCCUUAGGGUUGUAAAGCUCUUUUACCCGAGAUGAUAAUGACAGUAUCGGGAGAAUAAGCGCCGGCUAACUCCGUG